This 478-nucleotide ribosomal RNA is filed under the name uncultured bacterium. Its description in RNAcentral is "bacterial SSU rRNA". It matches the Rfam family "Bacterial small subunit ribosomal RNA", at positions 28 to 507 of the family's 1533-position model. The record is from RNAcentral.
GACGAACGCUGGCGGCGUGCCUAACACAUGCAAGUCGAGCGGGGUUCGAAGCGAAGAGGUAACUCGAACUUCUACCUAGCGGCGGACGGGUGAGUAACGCGUGGGCAACCUGCCUCAAGGUCUGGGAUAACAGCCCGAAAGGGCUGCUAAUACCGGGUAUGCUUGUGGCCUCGCAUGGGGCUACGAGCAAAGGGGAAACCCGCCUUGAGAUGGGCCCGCGUCCCAUCAGCUAGUUGGUGAGGUAACAGCUCACCAAGGCGACGACGGGUAGCCGGCCUGAGAGGGUGACCGGCCACACUGGGACUGAGACACGGCCCAGACUCCUACGGGGGGCAGCAGUGGGGGAUCUUGCACAAUGGGCGAAAGCCUGAUGCAGCGACGCCGCGUGAGCGAAGAAGGCCUCGGGUUGUAAGCUCUGUCUGGAGGGACGAAGGAAGUGACGGUACCGUCCGGAGGAAGCCGACGGCCUAACUACGUG